Molecule: long non-coding RNA, 182 nt
Organism: Mesoplodon densirostris (Blainville's beaked whale)
Lineage: Eukaryota; Metazoa; Chordata; Mammalia; Artiodactyla; Ziphiidae
Exons: 3
Source: RefSeq, a predicted model, not a curated record
CGAGGAACUUAUAUUUGGAGCUGAUCAUAUUACAACAGGUGCUUCCAGUGAUUUUGAUAAUGCAACCCAAAUAGCAAAGCAGAUGGUCACCAAAUUUGGAAUGAGUGAAAAGCUUGGAGUUAUGACCUACAGUGAUACAGGGAAACUGAGUCCAGAAACUAUAUCUGCUAUUGAACAGGAAA